UUGUAACUAAAAUGGUUUGGCAGUGAGCGAUUCUUGUUAGGGGAAGAUGCAUAGUAAAGGAUGGUCCACCUAUUAUUUCACUCUUGUUAUGUUGGUGUAUAUCUGGUUUGAUAUUAUCGUUUAAUGGUUUGAGUUUGUGUAGUUUUAGUUAAGCCAAGUCUAUGUGCUGCUUAUGGGAGUUUUUGUGUGUUACAUUAAUAAGGGUGUUGUUGUAAUAUAAUAUUAUUUAGGACUUAAUAGUAAUGU
RNAcentral lists this ribosomal RNA (246 nucleotides) under Echinococcus granulosus. Its description in RNAcentral is "partial small subunit ribosomal RNA". Lineage: Eukaryota; Metazoa; Platyhelminthes; Cestoda; Cyclophyllidea; Taeniidae. The record is from RNAcentral.